GAUGAACGCUGGCGGCGUGCCUAAUACAUGCAAGUCGAGCGAACAGACGAGGAGCUUGCUCCUCUGACGUUAACGGCGGACGGGUGAGUAACACGUGGAUACCCUACCUAUAAGACUGGGAUAACUUCGGGAACCCGGAGCUAAUACCGGAUAAUAUAUUGAACCGGAUGCUUCAAUGGUGAGAGACGCUUUUCCUGUCACUUAUAGAUGGAUUCGCGCCGCAUUAGCUAGUUGGUAAGGUAACGGCUUACCAAGGCAACGAUGCGUAGCCGACCUGAGAGGAUGAUCGGCCACACUGGAACUGAGACACGGUCCAGACUCCUACGGGAGGCAGCAGUAGGGAAUCUUCCGCAAUGGGCGAAAGCCUGACGGAGCAACGCCGCGUGAGUGAUGAAGGUCUUCGGAUCGUAAAACUCUGUUAUUAGGGAAGAAAAAAUGUGUAAGUAACUAUGCACGUCUUGACGGUACCUAAUCAGAAAGCCACGGCUAACUACGUG
This 497-nucleotide ribosomal RNA is filed under the name uncultured bacterium. RNAcentral describes it as "partial 16S ribosomal RNA". It matches the Rfam family "Bacterial small subunit ribosomal RNA", at positions 28 to 507 of the family's 1533-position model. The record is from RNAcentral.